This 478-nucleotide ribosomal RNA is filed under the name uncultured bacterium. Its description in RNAcentral is "partial 16S ribosomal RNA". It matches the Rfam family "Bacterial small subunit ribosomal RNA", at positions 28 to 523 of the family's 1533-position model. The record is from RNAcentral.
GACGAACGCUGGCGGCGUGCUUAACACAUGCAAGUCGAACGGUAAGGCCCUUCGGGGUACACGAGUGGCGAACGGGUGAGUAACACGUGGGUGACCUGCCCUGCACUUCGGGAUAAGCCUGGGAAGCUGGGUCUAAUACCGGAUAGGACUCCGGACUGCAUGGUCUGGGGUGGAAAGCUUUUGCGGUGUGGGAUGGGCCCGCGGCCUAUCAGCUUGUUGGUGGGGUGAUGGCCUACCAAGGCGACGACGGGUAGCCGGCCUGAGAGGGUGACCGGCCCCACUGGGCCUGGGAUACGGCCCAGACUCCUACGGGAGGCAGCAGUGGGGAAUAUUGCACAAUGGGUGCAAGCCUGAUGCAGCGACGCCGCGUGAGGGAUGACGGCCUUCGGGUUGUAAACCUCUUUCAGCAUCGACGAAGCGAAAGUGACGGUAGGUGCAGAAGAAGGACCGGCCAACUACGUGCCAGCCGCCGCAGUAA